RNAcentral lists this ribosomal RNA (592 nucleotides) under uncultured bacterium. RNAcentral describes it as "partial 16S ribosomal RNA". It matches the Rfam family "Bacterial small subunit ribosomal RNA", at positions 355 to 1375 of the family's 1533-position model. The record is from RNAcentral.
UGGGGAAUUUUGGACAAUGGGCGAAAGCCUGAUCCAGCAAUGCCGCGUGUGUGAAGAAGGCCUUCGGGUUGUAAAGCACUUUUGUCCGGAAAGAAAUCCUUGGCUCUAAUACAGUCGGGGGAUGACGGUACCGGAAGAAUAAGCACCGGCUAACUACGUGCCAGCAGCCGCGGUAAUACGUAGGGUGCAAGCGUUAAUCGGAAUUACUGGGCGUAAAGCGUGCGCAGGCGGUUUGCUAAGACCGAUGUGAAAUCCCCGGGCUCAACCUGGGAACUGCAUUGGUGACUGGCAGGCUAGAGUAUGGCAGAGGGGGGUAGAAUUCCACGUGUAGCAGUGAAAUGCGUAGAGAUGUGGAGGAAUACCGAUGGCGAAGGCAGCCCCCUGGGCCAAAUACUGACGCUCAUGCACGAAAAGCGUGGGGAGCAAAACAGGAUUAGAUACCCUGGUAGUCCACGCCCUAAAACGAUGUCAACUAGUUGUUGGGGAUUCAUUUCCUUAGUAACGUAGCUAACGCGUGAAGUUGACCGCCUGGGGGAGUACGGUCGCAAAGAUUAAAAACUCAAAUGAAUUGACGGGGUCAUAGCUGUUUCCU